CCUACGGGAGGCAGCAGUGGGGAAUAUUGGACAAUGGGGGAAACCCUGAUCCAGCAAUGCCGCGUGGGUGAUGAAGGCCUUCGGGUUGUAAAGCCCUUUCGGCGGGGACGAUGAUGACGGUACCCGCAGAAGAAGCCCCGGCUAACUUCGUGCCAGCAGCCGCGGUAAU
This 169-nucleotide ribosomal RNA is filed under the name uncultured Alphaproteobacteria bacterium. RNAcentral describes it as "partial 16S ribosomal RNA". It matches the Rfam family "Bacterial small subunit ribosomal RNA", at positions 338 to 524 of the family's 1533-position model. Lineage: Bacteria; Pseudomonadati; Pseudomonadota; Alphaproteobacteria. The record is from RNAcentral.